This is a long non-coding RNA of Gavialis gangeticus (Gharial), 119 nucleotides long. RefSeq lists it as uncharacterized. NCBI's taxonomy places the organism in Eukaryota, Metazoa, Chordata, Crocodylia, Gavialidae. The record is from RefSeq and is a predicted model, not a curated record. The transcript is spliced from 3 exons.
GGGGAAAGAGGAAAUCAUGUCAGCCAGGCACCUGGUGAAUCAGUUGUCAAGCAGGUUGUAAUGUGUCAUAAAUUCAAUGUCUAUAUUGAGUCCAUGAUUUUUUGUACCCAGUAGAUUUA